GUGGGGAAUAUUGCGCAAUGGGGGAAACCCUGACGCAGCAACGCCGCGUGAAGGAAGAAGGCCUUCGGGUUGUAAACUUCUUUGAUUGGGGACGAAGUAAGUGACGGUACCCAAAAAACAAGCCACGGCUAACUACGUGCCAGCAGCCGCGGUAAUACGUAGGUGGCGAGCGUUGUCCGGAAUUACUGGGUGUAAAGGGCGUGUAGGCGGGACUGCAAGUCAGAUGUGAAAGCCCAGGGCUUAACCCUGGAGUUGCAUCUGAAACUGUGGUUCUUGAGUGCUGGAGAGGGAAGCGGAAUUCCUAGUGUAGCGGUGAAAUGCGUAGAUAUUAGGAGGAACACCAGUGGCGAAGGCGGCUUUCUGGACAGUAACUGACGCUGAGGCGCGAAAGCGUGGGGAGCAAACAGGAUUAGAAACCCUAGUAGUCC
This 428-nucleotide ribosomal RNA is filed under the name uncultured bacterium. RNAcentral describes it as "bacterial SSU rRNA". It matches the Rfam family "Bacterial small subunit ribosomal RNA", at positions 354 to 796 of the family's 1533-position model. The record is from RNAcentral.